GACGAACGCUGGCGGCGUGCCUAAUACAUGCAAGUCGAACGCAGUGGGGACGGGGGAGUAACACGUGGGUAACCUCCCAUCAGAGGGGAUAACACUUGGAAACAGGUGCUAAACCGAUACUGAUGGAUGGACCCGCGGUGCAUUAGCUAGUUGGUGAGGUAACGGCUCACCAAGGCCACGAUGCAUAGCCGCCCUUAGAGGGUGAUCGACCACACUGAGACUGAGACACGGCCCAGACUCCUACGGACGGCAGCAGUGGGGCAUCUUCGGCAAUUGACGAAAGUCUACCCGAUCAACGCCGCGUGAGUGGAUGAGGUUUUCGGCUCGUAAAACUCUGUUGUUAGUGAAGCGGUAUCUAACCAGAAAGCCCCGGCUAACUACGUGCCAGCAGCCGCGGUAAUUC
Molecule: ribosomal RNA, 403 nt
Filed under: uncultured bacterium
Lineage: Bacteria
Description: partial 16S ribosomal RNA
Rfam family: Bacterial small subunit ribosomal RNA
Source: RNAcentral